AGAUCAGAAGGUGAUUGUGGCUUUGGGUGGAUAGCAAUCAGCCACAGCACUGCCUGGUCAGA
RNAcentral lists this microRNA precursor (62 nucleotides) under Oryctolagus cuniculus (rabbit). RNAcentral describes it as "microRNA ocu-mir-383 precursor". Its record names the gene ocu-mir-383. It matches the Rfam family "mir-383 microRNA precursor family", at positions 7 to 68 of the family's 73-position model. The record is from miRBase by way of RNAcentral. Lineage: Eukaryota; Metazoa; Chordata; Mammalia; Lagomorpha; Leporidae.